UUAUGUUUAAAAAAGCGGUUUCCAGUUUACCGAAGCCGAUUCAUAGGGCGUCAUGUCCUAAGGAGGGAGGGAGAGAGGAGUGUCUAUCGCAUCUCAAGUUGCCUAUUCAGAAUCGGGGCUAUUUUGGAACCGAAAAAUUUUCAAAGUCGCAUCAAUGGGUAAAGGUUGAUGAUGGAAUUGGAAUUGUUGGUGUGACGCCUCACGCAUUGAAGGACAUGGGGGAAGUUGUGUUUGUCGAUUUACCUAGGGUCGCUCAAAAGGUGACCAAGGAUCAGGUUUUGGCGUCCAUCGAGGCGAGCAAAACGACGUUGGACUUGCAAACACCUGUUGGUGGAGUUGUAUUGGAAGUGAAUCAGGAGUUGGUGGAUAACCCAGCUCUACUUGGAAGUUCGUCAGACAGUCGGGGCUGGCUAUACAAAAUAAAACUAGACAGUCCGGACGAAUGCCGCUCGCUUUUGGAUGUGAACGCUUAUCAGCAGUACUGUGAGGAAUGCUAAUAAAAAAAAGUUUAUUUAGACCGCGCACAUCAAGAUCAAUUGAGAUCCAUAUUGAUCAGCUUGUUGUUGACGAUGUCUGAGGAGGAGCACGGGAUGCCAGAUUCGAGUGGUACCACGCUCACUUUGAAAGUACCUGCGGAAAAGUUAGCGUGAA
Long non-coding RNA from Schistocerca gregaria, 651 nucleotides. RefSeq lists it as uncharacterized. NCBI's taxonomy places the organism in Eukaryota, Metazoa, Arthropoda, Insecta, Orthoptera, Acrididae. The transcript is spliced from 2 exons. The record is from RefSeq and is a predicted model, not a curated record.